Sardina pilchardus (European sardine) is the source of this 6358-nucleotide RNA transcript. It is a transcript of the gene named QKI, KH domain containing, RNA binding 2, with no coding region annotated. Lineage: Eukaryota; Metazoa; Chordata; Actinopteri; Clupeiformes; Clupeidae. The record is from RefSeq and is a predicted model, not a curated record. The transcript is spliced from 8 exons.
UGCAGCAGACUAGCGUGAUCAUGUGAUACCAUCGGGAGCUCUGUCGCGGAAUUCCGAAACACCAUGCACAUUGAAGAGUUACCAUAGCACGAAGGAAACAAGUGAGGUAGUCAGUGUCGAGCUCCCGAAACUGCGAAUCUGACUCACACGCCCGAAAACUGGAAAGAACUCGUAGUCAGAUGGGGUGUGUUUGAGCCAGCUGAAAAAAUCAACACGAAGACGAAAACUAUGCGGACGAAACGCGGGGCAUGAAGGGACUACAUGCAGUUUUUGGAGUUACUGCGGCAUUUGUAAAAUAGACGUACACUGUUUUGCACGGAAUUUUAAGCGUUUUUAAACUCCAUUCAACAAAUGACUGUGUGUGAAACAGCGCUGUAGAGUCUAAAAAAGAAAAAGAAAACGUCGCAGCAGCAGCAGCAGCAUCGGAGAGGGAGAGGCUGCGUUAGGAGUCAGGAGCGACGCCCGAGUUAAUUUGUGUUUACUGAUUUUAGUUGGCUACCGCAUUGCUACAGUGCGUUCGCUAUUUAUUUCUUGUUGUCUUGAUUGUUUUGGGUCUUCUGUUUGAAUAUGGUGGGGGAAAUGGAAACGAAGGAAAAGCCGAAGCCCACCCCUGACUAUCUCAUGCAACUUAUGAACGACAAGAAGCUGAUGAGUAGUUUGCCCAACUUCUGCGGAAUUUUCAACCAUCUAGAGAGACUUCUAGAUGAAGAGAUCGGACGGGUACGGAAGGACAUGUACAACGACACGCUCAACGGCAGCACAGAGAGACGCUCGUCCGAGCUCCCCGAGGCUGUGGGACCCAUCGCCCAACUGCAGGAGAAACUCUAUGUGCCUGUCAAGGAGUAUCCCGACUUUAACUUUGUUGGGAGAAUCCUGGGUCCCAGAGGCUUAACGGCCAAGCAGCUGGAGGCGGAGACUGGCUGCAAGAUUAUGGUGCGUGGGAAGGGCUCCAUGAGGGACAAGAAGAAGGAGGAGCAGAACCGUGGUAAGCCCAACUGGGAGCACCUGAAUGAGGACUUGCACGUUCUCAUCACCGUGGAGGACUCUCAGAACCGGGCGGAGAUCAAGCUCAAGCGUGCCGUGGAGGAGGUCAAGAAGCUCCUAGUGCCAGCGGCUGAGGGCGAGGACAGUCUGAAGAAGAUGCAGCUGAUGGAGCUGGCCAUCUUAAAUGGCACUUACAGGGAUGCCAACGUCAAGUCGCCAGCCCUGGCCUUCUCUCUGGCGGCGUCAGCCCAGGCUCCGCGCAUCAUCACCGGCCCCUCCCCCGUCAUGCCCACCGCUACCCUGCGGGCACCACAGCCCACCGCGCCCACCCUCAUGCCCCUCAUCAGGCAGAUCCAGACCUCCGCCCUGAUGCCCGCGGGCACCCCGCACCCCGGCAUCAUGCAGCAGUCGCCCGAGUCUGGCAUCAUCUACGCCCCCUACGACUACCCCUACACACUGGCGCCUUCCAUUCUCGAGUACCCCAUUGACUCCACCGGAGUGCUAGGUAUGGCUUUCCCAACGAAGGGCUAGUAGCGCUCUCCGAUGAACUAGCACCGAGCACGCCUCUGCCUGAGUGUUAAUGCGUGUUUUGUUUUACAGCUGCCUGGAUAUGAACAAACGAACGAACAAACGAAUAAAUGAACAAACGAACAAACAAACAAGCGAAAACUAAACAAACAAACGUGUGAAAGCGAAGACAGACGUAGCAUUAUGUCAGUCGGUUAUAGUCAGUCAGUCAGACCAGACUGACUGGCAGGCAGACAGACAGACAGACAGAUAAGAAGCUAAUAACUACUGAUGUUUACACUGGCCGUAACUAUGGAGAUUACUUUUAAUUCAUCUCUUUAUUGUCUAAUGACUCAUGGAUUAAAAAAUAAUGACAAACAAGCAAACGAAAUGAUAUCUUUUAAACUAUGUCUAAACUAUUUUUGAUCGAACUGAUGUAUUGACGCUCUCAUAAAGCCUUAAAGUAGUCAGUAGAGCUGAAUGUGUACAGUUUGAAACACUGCAGUCUGGUCUGAGGGGAUGUCUGUUUAGGGAUCUCUAAAACUGGAAACGAUCGAGUCUCUGACUCCUUAUAGGUAGGUGACAUAUAAAAGAGUGCCUCAGAAUCGAAAUGCUAUUAAAAAGUAAAUGGGAUUAAUUUUUAUGCUUCUUGGUAGACUUUGACUUUUGGUUAUAAAAAGAAAGUCUUCAUUCACAUACUGUAGUGCUCCAUGAAAAUAUUCUACUUAAAACUGGAAAACUAAAACUUAAAAAUCUAUGACUAUUUUGAACUUUGAAGCACCAAUAAGUGUGCUGUGUAAUGUAAUGACUGGUGUAAAUUCGGUGUGGAUUUGACCAGACAUAUGACUAAAUGUCCUCUAUUACUAUGGGCUUAUGACAGCCUUUUGUAGGUGGAAGGCCUGGAAAUGCUAUUGUCUGUUUUGAACCAGGGAACACUACUUCAGUUCGCAACAUGUUUAUAUUUAAACACAAAUGUUUGUGUGGGAGAUCCACAAACACACACAUCCCCAGACUUGUACUACAGUGUUAAAUCCAAUCCAAGAGUCUCUAAUGAAAUGCGUGAUUGGUUUUUCUCGUGCCUUACCUGUGCUUUUGUUUUUUUUGUUCAUGUUUUCUUUGGUUGUUGUUUUACAAGUUUUUCUUACAUGCUUGAUGGAUGGAUAGAUUUCUACUACAUGUGUGUUUUUUUGACUUGUGUGUGAAUUGCAACGACUGUAGGCUCGCCUUCUACUAUCUGACCAAUACUGACCGUGUGUGUGUGUGUGUGUGUGUAUAUGUGUAUGUGUGUGUGUGUGUGUGUGUGUGUGUGUGUGUGUGUGUUUUCUUGCCGUGUGUGUUUCUGAAAUGAUCUUCUGCCUAAUCUCAUUCCCUCUUUUGUUUUGUUGGGUAAUCCCGUUACCACGCGAACAGGGGCGGUGACUACUAAAGUUCGAAGGCACGAUAUGCGUGUCCAUCCCUACCAAAGGGUUGUGACUGCCGAUCGAGCCGCCACCGGCAACUAACCUUUGACCUUCUGACCUCUGAACUCUUCACCCAAUGAUGACCUGACCAUUGCCUGCCUGCUGACCAGUUCUCUGACCUUGGCUCGUCCUUCGCUUGUCUGUCUUGCGGUUGGCUCUGGUUCGGUGUUCUGGCGAGCCGGGACGCAGCUUUACCGCUUAACCCAACAGCGGCUCGGUGGUGAGGCCCAUCCACUCCUCAACAACAACCCAACCCCCCCUCCCCUCUCAAAGACUUAUCCUCCAUAACACACACACACACACACACACACACACACACACACAUAUACACACACACACACACACACACACACACACAGAAUACGGUAUACAACCUCCACUGGCCUUCUUGGGCUAGGUGAGGUAGACUGGGAUGAGGGAUGGGGCUCCAAACCUGCACUGAGGCAUUGUAAAGCAAUAAUGAGGUCCGGUCCACUUCCACUGAUAGACAUGACCCUACACCUCUCUGUCAGCUACGCUACACUACACACACACACACACACACACACACACACACACACACAGAGACACACAGACAGACAGACAGACACACACACACACACACUUGGUGUAAUGAGUAUGACUUUAUUUUACAUGUAGAUACAGACCUAUAUGAAUGCACACACACACACACACACACACACACACACAUACCCAGAGGAUCAGAUUUUAUCCUGUUUUUGGUGUGUUUUUCAUGGUCUACAAAGUGUUUUGAAGGAAAAAAACAGUUGCCUUUCUGUAAGCAUUAGAUUUCACAUACACAGAGCGGGAUGUCAGGUGGGCUUUGGGUGGGACCAGUUUGAAGAGGUUAUGUGUGAGUGUGUGUAUGUGUGUGUGUGUGUGUGUGUGUGUGUGUGUGUGAGUGAACGAGAGAGACAGAUGAGAACAUGUGUAUGUGAGUCAGUUGGGUCCCUGAUAGGUCAGAAAUGACACAUGAACAUGUCCAGGUUGCUUCCUUUUUUCUAUGGUAACAACUUCAAACUAUGGGAUGUAUAAGCCAUGUUUGCCUCCAACUCGCUUCCAACCCAUGUCAUACGCACACAUCAUGAAACCUGAGAAUGAAAUGAAAUAACACUCAGCCCGAAGAUCAACACUUUUGAUACAAAGGUGCUUCAGGACCGAAAGGAGAGUAUAUUUUUCUCAAUGCAAUCCUUUUGUAUCAAACUUCAGUAUUGUCGCAUUCUUCGAUGAACAAAGAUAGAAACCUUUCUUUGUUUGCAUUGACGAGGACAUUUUUUAAGAGACCAAAACAGCCUUUUGAUUGUUUUUGUUUUUCUUUUUUAAAUCAAACAUUUAUUUUUGUCAGUGACAAAAAAAAAGAAAAAACCUAAAGAAGUGCCUUAUUUUACACACGAUUGUGGAUUUUGAAUGUCCCAAGGGAUGUGCUUCUAUUCACAUAUCAGGUUAAUCUUCUAACUAAUUAAUUCAAGUAAUAGACAAAAACACAUAAUACUGGUGUGUGCGAUUUUUUAAAUUGUGCUACUGAUGUAGUGAAAAAUGUUUUGGUAAACACUAUCUGAAGCAAUGACAGGAGGGACUAAACUAUUCCCAGCAUCUCACUUUUAUUUUGAAGCCAUCUGUUUUGCAUUUGAAGCCAAACCUUACCCAUCAUUUGCCAAAUGUUUGUAGACUGCAUCAUUUCAGGUGCUCCAAGUAGUGUUCUGGGAAGCACCAAAAAAACAGUAGCCUUACAAAAAUUUACACAUUUUAUUUUUUCUUUUAAUUAUUGUAGCUUCUUUUGUUUGUAGCCUACUCCAGCUAGUCCAUGUACAGACUUGGCACAGCUCUGACUAGAGAUCCCUCUCAUGUAAAGUUUAUACGUCCUCCCUCGCUCCUCGGGCCUCGAUCCUCACUGAUCUACAGUACAUACAGAAUGAUGGGGCGCCAACAACGAGUCUAUCCCUUCGUCUAUCUUUCUUUAUGUAGAUCAGUGAGGAUCGAGGCCCGAGGAGCGAGGGAGGACGUAUACACUUUACAUGAGAGGCACCCCAAGAUACUGGGGUUGAAGGUAUAGCAACUCACACCACAUGCAAUCAUCCUGUGGUAACAUUUUUGACUCUUUGAGCCUUAUGAACUGUUACGUAAACAAUUCGGUUUCUCAAAUAGUUCAUCUCAACGGAACAUAAUUUUUAGAUAUUUGGGAAAAUAACAGUUUGAUUCAGAGUUACUGUUAAUACAUAAUGAACUGAAAGGAAGCGCAAAAAACAUACUGUUUUUGCCGUAACUCUAAAAAAGUCGAAUUCCAAUGUCUUCUUAUCCUCUGAUUUUUUUUAAUGAUCUAUGCAACCUCACAUUUCUGUUGCAGUAUUCUAAACAUCCUUUAUCAUGCUCCACGUUGGGUUCUGAAGUUGACUUUCAGAAUAUAAUAGUCAUAUAGUAUAUGAAAUAAAAACAAAUAAAGCUCAAAGAAAGGUAGCCAGGCCAAUCAGCUUUCCAAAGCAGAUGGGGGUUUAGACAACACUGUGAUGUUAGAUUUGAUCAUUGAGUCACAGCAAUUCACUAAAAGAAGAAAUAUCUUGGAAACAUAAGUCCAGUGAGGGAAAUAACUAUGCUAAAAAAAUACAAUACAGUACAAAAAAGGAACAGUAGUUAAAAAGAGUUGUAAAAAAUGCAUUGUUGAUUUUCCACUGACACUGUCAUCAGGAAGGUGGAUACAAUCAGGAAGUUCAAGCUCUAGGCUAGGAACAGACAGUUUAAAAAAAAAAAAAAAAGUCUUGAGCUACAGAACUGCCUGGUUUUGUGUCUCACUACAUGGUCAUGUGAAUGGUUUCGUAUCUAUUUCUGUUUUGUCAUUUUACACAGUGCCAUAAGGAAUAGUUUUGAAGGGGAUGUGAUGAUGCUGAUAUGUUGUUUUGUUACAUGUGUGGGGAAAGACUAGAAGCAGUUUAAAUGCAAUAUAUAUAUACAUAUAUAUAUAUAUAUAUAACAUUGCAGUUGAUGUGUUGAUGCCAGUGAAGGUCUCAGUGUAGGGUCAUGUUUUUAGUUUCAUGGCGUCGCAUCAGGAACUGAAGUUUGUUUUACUUAUUUAGUUGUGUUACAUUAUGUUUUGUAAGAUUUUUUGUUGAAGCCCUUUACGUCAACAGUAUUAUCAUAGUCAGUUAUCUUGCUGUGUUUUGUGUGAGUGUGUGUGUGUGUGUGUGAGAGAGAGAGAGAGAGAGAGAGAGAAAAUGUUUUUUUCUUCCAUUUUGUUUCUACAUUCAACAUUUCAACCCCAGAUAGACACUGUUUUUUUAUGGUGCCCAAGUACUUGCCUACGUGAGGAGUGAACAUCCUCUGAUAUUUAUAACCCUUGUAACAAAUUUAUAAUGUAUUUUUCUAUCAUAUUUUGUAUGUGAGAAAUAACAUUAAAUUACAUUUCCAGAUUUGAA